GGAGGGGUGAGGCAGGCGGCGGCCUGCGGGCGGCGGAGGUGGCUCCGCUUUGGAUGCAGGGCGGCGGCGGCGGAGUGCGGCUUAUUCAUCGGUUCGAAAUGUAGCCGUUCUACCACGUCAUAUUAAAGUUCUUUUAGUGACAACAGGGAGGACCCUUCCUGAAGUAACUGUAUUAGAACAGGGCGUGAGUCUCCGUUUGUGGUUGACAACAGGUGUUCCCGAUACGAUAGUUGGCGUAAGCGGUCAAGAUAUACGCGUUCCAAGCGAUAUGGGUCGUCUUGAAGAUACUUUUCGACAGGUGGUAGUAGCUACUCAAGGGGUCUGACCUACUGUAGGUGGGAAAGAUACCGCUAGAGGAAGUACACGAGAUGUUGUUCCUAGUGAUGUUUGAACGGAACCCAGUCUAGUUAUGUCGAUCUUUAUAGUAACGUUUCUAGAGGUUCCUGAUAGACUCCGACGAGUUCAUACCUCUGUGGGACAUGGCCACGUUCACGGACUUCCAUCGACGUGAUCCAGCGUACACAUGACAAGAUUUCGCAUAGUCAGGAUCAAACCGUAUGGACCUCGUCUAGUCCGUCGUGUACCGGUCGAGAAAGUACUUGUUCCAAUGCUCCCGACUACACCUGCAUGUCGGAAUACGAAAGUGUUGUUUUAGGGAAAAACAACCGGUACGUCUAAUGUUCAUAGACGCCAUGGUUCACUAACUGUGAGGUCCCUAGGAACUAGCAGGAAAACUCCUGUCCUUGUAGUAUCUCUACACGUCAUAGUGGCGACAACGAGUGAACUCCCGACGACACGACAAGAAGAACCUGUAGAGACCAAGAACACCCAUGUGAUAACGAGUCGUUCGACGUGAGAAGGUGUCAUAAUUUAGGAACAAGUACUUAUUCGGAGACCAGUAACACACGUUGUUCUGACUAAACGUCGGCGAACUGCCCGAAAGACUUCUCCUGUACUUCGACCACUACCUCUACUUCAGUCUCCGAUACUUCUGAUAUGGAGUUCCACCUCUAGGAUCACUUCUCCCACAAAACAACUGAUACUCACGAAAUUGUCUACUCCCACACUACCGACAAUUUUUACGACGUACACUCUCCGAAGAACUCGUCUCCCACCUCUAGUUCUACUUCAGUUUCUUCUAGUUACUGACGUAUUUGUCCAAAGUACAACGAUACGGGUUCGGAGCACUGUUGUCUCUAUCCGGAUGAACAUAAGGAGUCCGACAAGAACUUCGAGUUCGCUAACGACGACGUUUCCUUUUCUUCUUUGAACUCUCCCUGGAACUCUUACUCUUACCUCCACGACCACAGAUAAGGCGGUCAGAGUUCUUCGUAAUGAACAACCGACUACUACUUACCUUCCUUCUAUAAGAGGGACUCUAUAACCUACCGGUAUUACAACGACUAAAGGACCUAGGCCUAUAGAACCUUUCCACACUCCUCGACCUUUCCCUCCUCCCAGAAGCAGAACUUCUUCUCCGACGAGUCCUACGAAAGUACUAACUACCGGUACUACUUAAUUGACUUCUUGUCGCUCUCUAUAACCCAUUCUAAUCCUCCUUCUUCCGUUACGAGUAGGUUCUCGUAUCCUACUUCUUCUCAUGACGUCUCUCGGCAGGAUAACAAGGUUCCUUCGUACUGUUCCUAUCCUUCAAGUGUUGGUUCUCUGACCCGUCCGUUGAGUGUAGGUACCCGCAACUAGGAUGGCGCCGACACUUGGCUGAAGCGUCGGUCAGUUCUCCGGCAUUCGCACUCUCCAGUGACUCGUCUCGACUACCACUGCUGCGAUACCUGCAACUACCGGUCGUGAGGCUGUUCUUCGACGCAUGCUCCAGCUCCAGAUCCAGGUUUAGUGCUGGUUAACUUCUCCAGCAUGGUCCACUGCCCUAGGCCCUGCAACGAGUUUUCUUCUUCCGGUAGUUCUUUAGCUCCCUGAGACAGUUCUUGUCCUUGUUCCUCCGAGCGGCACCUCUCCGCCUAGCGCAGUAGGGGUGGAACUUUGGCUUCGUAGAGAAGAGACCUUUUGCUCCUCAACCUUUCUGGGUCUCCGCUAUUUGGUCAGUUACACCUGCAACGACGAACGUUAGUGAGCUAGUCCUUGAUAACCUAGUGACGGUAAAAAGCACGACCCGUAGCCCCCUCCGAAGUCACAGUUAGACCGUCGACCUCUAUGAUGAUAGAUAACGUUAAAAUAAAAAUAGACCGUAAACGAGACACAAGGCGAAACAAACAAUCUGAUGUAACAACAACUUGAUAUACCAACAUGGAAGCCAA
RNAcentral lists this ribosomal RNA (2273 nucleotides) under Triticum aestivum (bread wheat). Its description in RNAcentral is "partial small subunit ribosomal RNA". The record is from RNAcentral. Lineage: Eukaryota; Viridiplantae; Streptophyta; Magnoliopsida; Poales; Poaceae.